CAUACAUGCUACUAUGUCCUUACUCUGUCUGGAAAACAGUUUCCUUGCAAUUAUCCUCUACCUCUGGCUUGUGUGAUCUCUCUGACACUUCUUCCAAGAAGAUCCCUCAGCCUUGGAGGAUUGGAUGUGAUAUGUACAACCUGUGUAGGACCAAGCACUCUAUGGCCUCUUAUUUUCUGCACAUUGAUCAGUUGAAGAUUUCCAUGGUGUUUUGUUGUUGUUGAGACCGAUGUGCACAAGAGAACUGGAUGGCCCCAGGGAGAAGACAAGAGAGAAAACAUUCUGAAAAAGGGGGCAAAAGAAUCUUGUCAGCCUGUCGUCACAGGAGGGAAAAACAACACUGAGCAGCAAAUACACGAAAGUGAAGAAGGCCACUCCUGAGUUGAGGCAGGAAGUCAUGACUGUGAUCCAUGAUGGUAGAGGGUGCCAGUUCUCUGCAUGCUUCAGAGAGUGGAGAUGUGGAGAUCAUGGCAACAGACCUGAGAACCUGGAGUAGCAGAACAGGGCAUAUGGAGACACUGGCCUCCUGUUCUUUCCUUGGUUGCAAAGCGCUGUCCACUCAUCUGGAGAGACCAAUGUCCUGGUCACUUUCCUGGCAAGGAGGUCCAGGCAGGUGGGAUUCUGAUGAAAGAUGUCACACUUAAAACCACUGAUGCUGGUACAAAGCCUGUCUGGCUGCUUGUAGGCUCCCCUGCCUGGGAUGUGACUUCUGGAUGCUGUUU
Peromyscus eremicus (cactus mouse) is the source of this 722-nucleotide long non-coding RNA. RefSeq lists it as uncharacterized. The transcript is spliced from 3 exons. The record is from RefSeq and is a predicted model, not a curated record. Lineage: Eukaryota; Metazoa; Chordata; Mammalia; Rodentia; Cricetidae.